AGUGAACGCUGGCGGUAGGCCUAACACAUGCAAGUCGAACGGCAGCACAGGAGAGCUUGCUCUCUGGGUGGCGAGUGGCGGACGGGUGAGGAAUACAUCGGAAUCUACUUUUUCGUGGGGGAUAACGUAGGGAAACUUACGCUAAUACCGCAUACGACCUACGGGUGAAAGCAGGGGAUCUUCGGACCUUGCGCGAUUGAAUGAGCCGAUGCCGGAUUAGCUAGUUGGCGGGGUAAAGGCCCACCAAGGCGACGAUCCGUAGCUGGUCUGAGAAGAUGAUCAGCCAAACUGGAACUGAGACACGGUCCAGACUCCUACGGGAGGCAGCAGUGGGGAAUAUUGGACAAUGGGCGCAAGCCUGAUCCAGCCAUACCGCGUGGGUGAAGAAGGCCUUCGGGUUGUAAAGCCCUUUUGUUGGGAAAGAAAUCCAGCUGGUUAAUACCCGGUUGGGAUGACGGUACCCAAAGAAUAAGCACCGGCUAACUUCGUGCCAGCCGCCGCGGUAA
This 506-nucleotide ribosomal RNA is filed under the name uncultured bacterium. Its description in RNAcentral is "partial 16S ribosomal RNA". It matches the Rfam family "Bacterial small subunit ribosomal RNA", at positions 29 to 523 of the family's 1533-position model. The record is from RNAcentral.